Long non-coding RNA from Meriones unguiculatus (Mongolian gerbil), 2542 nucleotides. RefSeq lists it as uncharacterized. The record is from RefSeq and is a predicted model, not a curated record. The transcript is spliced from 3 exons. Lineage: Eukaryota; Metazoa; Chordata; Mammalia; Rodentia; Muridae.
GCUGGGUGUACUAAUCAAAGCCUGGGUCACGUGCAAUCUGAGUCAUUACAGGAAGAAGGGAUCAGGCUUAGAGAAAGAGGAACUGGACUGGGUUUUAACAGGAGGGGAAAAGUGAACAGUGAACGCAGAGGACAACAGCAUCUGAGAAGAUACCCCUGGGAGACACACACUGUGCUGCAAAAGAGAUCCAGAUGGAAGAACAGGAAGGAAAAUGGUCAGGAAGUUCAACGAGCCUGUCUAAGAUGCAGGUGCUUGCCCACAGUCGAUCCUAGGACCUCAAGCCUUAGGCCUCAGGCUUCUUUGGCUUGCCCCUCACUCAAUAGAGAAUGUGCAUCUUCAAGAUUCCUUGAGGUGGAGGGCUAUCCAUUCUUGACUUGCUGUUGGGGCUGUGGUAAGCUGGUUUGAGGUAAGUGCUGGGUUCAGUUUAUAUCAAUGCCCAGCUUGAUACCUUGAAGUUGACCAAAUCUGGGGCAACUGCAUCACAGAAAUUAGAAGAGACUAUUUCUUGUAUCCACCCUGAGAUUUAGUUCCCCGGAAGUACACUGGUUGGCAUAACUCGAAUGUGGCUGCAUGGUAUGUAAUAUCAGGGGAUGGAAACCUGGGCAGAGAAUUUUCCCGGAGAUUCUGAGGCUGCCAUCUCUUUUUGGUUCAUAGAAUAAGUCAUUUCUUUUGCUCACAGUUUUGCAGGCUGGGAAGUAAAAGAGCACGGUGCCAGCAUCUCAUUAGGCUGGGAUGCCCGGUCAGAACAGCGGAUUUGUCACACAGUGAGAAAGAAUUGGACAAAAGUCUUAAUCGUGAUGGCACAUGGCCAGUACAACACUUGCUUUGUGCUGAUAAUUUGCUCAACUCGGCCACAGAAUAUACCAGCAAUCUGCUCUCUCAUGACCUUCCCUGAAAGAAUCCCCAGGGAUGAUGUGUUCCAAGGAUAAAAAUUAGUAAUGUGGGUGCUCACAAGAUUGCCCAGGGUCAACAUGCGUCUAUGCCCCUGCAGCAUUUGAAGGCUUCCCAAACUGCGAGGUAUUCACCACAAACCUGGCCAAUGUUGUUCCCGGCUGGCAUUCUUGGGCAGUGGAACUCAAAGAAACAUGCAAAGAAACCAAAUAUUUGGCACAACUGGGAACCAGCAGAUAAUUGAGGCAAAGUCCAAUUAAGAUGCCUGAAAGGAAAAUCACAUACCUGGGGCCAUGAGACCUGGCAAGAAAUACCCCAGAUGUGCCCAGGAGGAAAAUCUAGACCUCUGGUGGAAGCCACAAAGCCCGGCUGCAAAACAUUACUCUGAUGUUGAUAGACUUUAAAAAUAUAUAUCAAGUGGCCUAAUUAGAGGGAACUGUGAUACUCAAAUUCAGUAUCAAGCUGUCGAGGAAUCUUUCAUAUUUGGCACAACUGCUGAGGCUGCAAAGCCACACAGAAGGUCUCAGGCGGAGCCUUUGUGUUCCCAAUCUUCCCUUUGACGAAGCCUGUUACAGUUCAGGAAGGUUUUUAGCUGACUGUAUUUACUCAUAGUACCAGGUGUCAGAGUCAGUCCUUUCCAAAUUUAAAUUUUAUUUAAUGUAACUUAUUAUUUAUAUUAUUUUAUGAAUUAUAUGGCUUGUGUUGAAGGUAGGGAGGGGAAACCAGCCUUUCCAAAUAAAUAUUCAAGGGUAAUUUAGUCAAAGAAUGUCGCUUGAUAUGUGAUUCUAGGUUUUCACUGUUUGUUGUUUUCAGGUAAGUUUAACUCAGCAAACACUUAUAAAACUAUUGACUGUGGGGAGUUCAAUGUGAGCUGCUGUUAACGGCUGCUAAUGACCUGGAAGUAAUUCAGCUUGACCUGGUCCAACACUCAUUUAUUAUAAAAUCUCUCAGAAAAGUAUGACUGGGAGAGAACUUUCUCCACAUGAUAACUAGCAUUCUGUUUUUAAAAACAAGCAGCUAGCAAGAUAGCAUCUCGUAAAGAUGAUCAUUUUGAAGCUUUAUGUGUCAGGAGUUGAAAGACUUUUAAAUCUUUUCUCAUCAAUUCCUAUCCAAAAAGGCAAAGAGGAUGGACAUCAGAAGAAGGAGAAAAGAUGGAACAAGUCAGGAGACUGACACAGAGGACCUCUGAAAGGCUCUGCCAUGCAGACUAUCAAUGCAGAUGCUGAGACUUACGGACAAUUUUUGGGCAGAGUGCAGGGAAUCUUAUGAAAGAAGUGAGGAACAGUAAGAUCUGGAGAGGACAGGAACUCCCCAAGGAGAGCAACAGAACCAAAAAAUCUGAGCACAGGCGUCUUUCCUGAGAUUGAAACUCCAAACAAGGACUAUGCAUGGAGAUAACCUAAGACCCCUGCACAGAUGUAGCCUAUGGCAGUUCAGUAUCCAAGUGGGUUCCAUUGUAAUAGGAACAGGGACUGUCUCUGACAUGAACUGAUUGGCCUGCUCUUUAAUUACCUCCCCCUGAGUGGGAAGCAGCAUUACCAGGCCACAGAAGAAGACAAUGCAGCCACUCCUGAUGAGACCUAAUUGACUAGGGUCAGAGGGAAGGAAAAGAAGACCUCCCCUAUCAGUGGACUUGGGGAGGGGCAUGCAU